This is a long non-coding RNA of Homo sapiens (human), 2164 nucleotides long. Lineage: Eukaryota; Metazoa; Chordata; Mammalia; Primates; Hominidae. The record is from Ensembl.
CUGGUGGUUUACGUAAGAGGGAGAGCAAUGGGGACGGGCAGGGACAGAGCUGCGGGCUGAGGUUCCUCCGUUCGGCGAAGCCCCUUCUCUCUGCCCCCGCCUGCUCUGGGCUUUCUUGGCUAUGUCUGCUCCUGACAGGAGGGAUGUGUGUUGCCAGGGGUGGGGGCUUGGCGUGUGUGCGUGUGAGAAUAUGUGUGUGUGUUUAAAAUACAAAAAAAAAAAAAAAAGAAGCGUGCCUAUACUCAGCCGCGAGACGCUGGCCAGCCUCCAUCCGUGCCAACUCCCCUCCGAGCUGGCACUGGGGACUCCGGAGGCACGGGGAGGAGGAAGGUGCGGGCAGCUUGCGGUGAGGAUGGACGCGUGCCACCGACGUAUGCCAGCGGCUGCAGGGGGCCAAACGCCUAUCCACAAAACCCACCGCGAUCGCUGGCAGCCGUGGCGGGAGGCGGCAGCAGUUGGCAGAGGUGCCAGGGAGGGCCGGCUGGGGCAGGUGGAUCCUGGCAGCAGCAGCGCAGGGGUCACGCUCCAGGCCUUUCUCCAAGCCCUCCCCGCGCUGGGACGCAUUUACCCGCCUGCCUGUUGACUUCGGCUGGCACCCACUCCUGGGCUGCUCAGAGCUGCUGCUCCCUGUUGAUGAGCACUGUAGGUGGCUUCGAGAUGCACGCCUCGGGACGAUCUGCCUUCCUCCCCCGCCUGCCAUUCCCGCACUGACAAACGUCUGCCCUGGGUGUUAGGAGCGAGGUGCACAUUGCACCUUACAUCCUCAUGGGCGGCUCCAGGAGCCUCACUGCAGCUGAUGAGUACUUAACACCAUCAUCCAUCUGUGUGGCCGUUGGGGCUGGCACAGAAGCUCUGGAUGCCUCUACCUGGAAACCAGGGCUGUUCUCCCUGGAUGGCAGGAAGGAAGCAGGUGGGAGGCGGGCGGAGGUGCUUGUUCCACCGGCACUCCUGGGUUCUGAGGACAUGGCACUUCCCCGCCUGUGUCUUGCUUUGGCCAUAGGUUCUGAGCUUCUGCUUCUCCUCUGUGGGUACGAGGGCCGCUCUGGCAUUAUGUCUUCUAGACCUGCGCCUCCUUCAGACGUCAGGGCCGUGCACUCAGACACCUCCAGUGAAAGCUUUUGGGGUUUGGAUGGAUGGACAGAUGGACAAAUUAACAGCAUUCUGCACUUGGAAUGACAAAACUUUAGGCAAGAAAAGGGUCAUUGGAGAAUAUCUAGUCCAACACUCUAAUGGGAUAGAGAGGGAAACUGAGGCCAGCAGAAAGCAUGUCACCUGACCCAGUCACAGCCCUUGGAUACAGAGGGAAACUGAGGCCAGCAGAAAGGAUGUCACUGGACCCAGUCAGCCCUUGGAUAGAGAGGGAAACUGAGGCCAGCAGAAAGUGUGUCACCAGACCCAGUCAGCCCUUGGAUAGAGAGGGAAACUAACGCCAGCACAAAGGAUGUCACCGGACCCAGUCAGCCCUUGGCCUAGGACCUGCAGACAGGCCACCUGCUGCUUCUGUGACCCCCACAGCCCAGACUCACACAUCUUCCUCCAGGUCAGGGAGUGAAGGGGUCUGCAGUCCUCUCCAACUGAGGGCAGGGACAGUCUCUACGUCCUGAGACCCCAGGCCCCUGACCUACCUGCCGGCCUGCCUGGCAAGGGCACACCUAUCAGGUUGCACCAUAAGGCCACCGGGCUGGGUCUGACUCACCCACAAUCCAUCAGCCUGCUGGUCUUUACACAUUCUGGGAGAGGCAAGAAUCUCUGUAGUUGCUAAAACACUUCCUCUUGGUUAUUCUGAGAACUAAAAACACACAUUAUUUGAAAGUCUUGGGUUUAGUCUAAUCUAAACCCCUCAGGUCGUGACUUAAGCUCUGGCCUCAGAGGUCUCCAUUUAUGCUUGGAUGAGCCACUCCUUUGGUCUUUGUCCCCUCACUGGAAGGCAUGUCCAUGAGGAAAUGGGGAGAAGAAUAUAGAGCUAUGAACUUGGAAUUUUGGUGUCAGAAGGACCUAGGUUCAAGUUCAGGCUCUAUCACUAGCUAGGGACCUCACUUUCUUCAUCUGUAGACUGACGAUAAUAAUAGUACAUACCUCAAAAGAGCUGUGCAGAUUCAAAGUGAUCCUGUGUCUAAACCUUUCUGUAUGAUGUCUGGUACCAAGUGAAUGCCCAGAAAACGGG